Molecule: ribosomal RNA, 513 nt
Filed under: uncultured bacterium
Lineage: Bacteria
Description: bacterial SSU rRNA
Rfam family: Bacterial small subunit ribosomal RNA
Source: RNAcentral
GAGUUUGAUCUUGGCUCAGAUUGAACGCUGGCGGCAGGCCUAACACAUGCAAGUCGAGCGGUAGAGAGAAGCUUGCUUCUCUUGAGAGCGGCGGACGGGUGAGUAAUGCCUAGGAAUCUGCCUGGUAGUGGGGGAUAACGCUCGGAAACGGACGCUAAUACCGCAUACGUCCUACGGGAGAAAGCAGGGGACCUUCGGGCCUUGCGCUAUCAGAUGAGCCUAGGUCGGAUUAGCUAGUUGGUGGGGUAAUGGCUCACCAAGGCGACGAUCCGUAACUGGUCUGAGAGGAUGAUCAGUCACACUGGAACUGAGACACGGUCCAGACUCCUACGGGAGGCAGCAGUGGGGAAUAUUGGACAAUGGGCGAAAGCCUGAUCCAGCCAUGCCGCGUGUGUGAAGAAGGUCUUCGGAUUGUAAAGCACUUUAAGUUGGGAGGAAGGGCAGUAAAUUAAUACUUUGCUGUUUUGACGUUACCGACAGGAUAAGCACCGGCUAACUCUGUGCCAGCAGCCG